This 406-nucleotide ribosomal RNA is filed under the name uncultured bacterium. RNAcentral's name for it is "partial 16S ribosomal RNA". It matches the Rfam family "Bacterial small subunit ribosomal RNA", at positions 30 to 526 of the family's 1533-position model. The record is from RNAcentral.
AUUGAACGCUGGCGGCAGGCCUAACACAUGCAAGUCGAACGCGUGGCGGACGGGUGAGUAAUGUCUGGGAAACUGCCCGAUGGAGGGGGAUAACUACUGGAAACAGUAGCUAAUACCGCAUACCAUCGGAUGUGCCCAGAUGGGAUUAGCUAGUAGGUGGGGUAACGGCUCACCUAGGCGACGAUCCCUAGCUGGUCUGAGAGGAUGACCAGCCACACUGGAACAGAGACACGUUCCAGACUCCGACGGGAGGCAGCAGUGGGGAAUAGUGCACAAUGGGCGCAAGCCUGAUGCAGGCAUGCGGCGUGUAUGAAGAAGGCCUGCGGGUUGUAAAGUACUUUCAGCGAGGAGUCGUUGAUCGCAGAAGAAGCACCGGCUAACUCCGUGCCAGCAGCCGCGGUAAUAC